AACUAUUUCUGAUUUCUCUUCCAGACAGCAGAAUGAUUUUGUGGUGCAUCACUUCCUCACCAACUGCAAGGCAAGAAUAAGACCAGUCUUAUAAUCUUUGAAGGCUCAAGAGGGUAUGAUAAUGAAUUAUUUGCUUGUACAGUGCCCUGCUGCAGUCACAUUUAUCUUGUUCUGCUGCUUCUUCUUAAAAAAUAGUACAGUCCAUGAAAGAGGGACUCCUGCUUAAUGGCAAUGACAUUGUCAAGUUUUUAAAAUGUUGUUGCUCUGUGCUGGUGUUUCUGAGCAGUUGUGGGAAGUUCAGUCUUGUGUGAUAUCAGGACGAUUGCUAUAAACAGUUGCUCUCAAUCACCCAGGCAGUGAAAGGAUAUGUCAGGGCUGACAUUAAAAGAAUCAGAAAAACAAAAAAAGUAGUAGUAAUGAUAGUGAUGAUGACGAUGAUGAUGAUGAUGAUGAUGAUGAUGAUGAUGAUAAUGUGGGGGAGAAGGCUGGGAAAGGGGAACCUGGCAUUGGUUACAGAAACAUGACUCAGCUUCUGUUCAGUAAACUCUCUGUUCAAGCCCAUUACACAACAAAUUUAGAAGGGGCUUUCAUAUUUUUGCAUGGCUUCUCCACUCUGAUUUCCUGUUUACAGCAGACUAGGACAAAAACUUGUCAGAAUAGCUGGAGAGCUGGGCCCGGACUGCAGGGGAGCUCCUGCCAGAGCAAGUUUUGCAGGAUUUAGAUCCAGAGAUGUCCUGGCAUUGUUCCAGCCUUUAAUAAUAAACACAAUAGUUUCACUCCAGCAAUAGCUGUAUGUUCUGGUAUGCACACACCAGCUGUGUUCCUGCUCCUACAGUCCAAGUGUUUUCCCAGACAGAAUACUUCAUAAAAUGAAAAUAGGCUUGUGCUAUUUACAAGGCCUAUUAUUUUUAAUGCAUCUUUUUGUUUUCUAAUAUUUUUCCUUAUUUCUAAAUUAAACUCAUCAAAACUAUUAAUUUAAGAAUGUAGUUUUUAGAAAUUUUUCAAACAUAUGUUUUGUAAAGGAAAAAAAGUGCAAAAAUAUAUGUGCAGGCUUGCUUUGCAAUUUAUUAAGCAAAAAUUACCAAUACUGGACAUACCAUUAGAAAGCACAUAAUAAAAUAAAGGAAAAUGUGAAUCUGUCAAGUUUACCUCCAAAAUUUCCUUUACACAUACCAAAGAAGUUGAAAUGGUUAAUAGGUAUAGGAACCUCUGCAAUAAUAGAUUAAUCCAUUGUUUCUGCUUUCAGUGUCUAUCCAAGUGAUGUGUACAUAUAUAAACCUAGGAAACUAGGAAAUUUAACAUGCAGUCUUUUAAUCUGACUUCUAAAACCUGUGUUCUAUCCAGUUACCAUCAAUAAGCAUUUUAAAAAUAUAAAAUAAAAUAAUAUUUAAAAAAUAUAUUUUUAAAUAGAUUAAAUAUAAAAAAUCUACAUAAAAUAAAGUGUACAACAAAUUUAUUUUAUAAAGAAAUAAAUUUUCAUUUUAAGGCUUCAGAAAGUUUUUGUAAUAUUCAUAAAUGGAAGAAGAAGCAAAGCAAUUUAAAUAUGGAAAAUAAAUUGCUGGUGUCUUUUUUUUUCCUUGAAAAACAUUUUGUUUUGUAAGCUUAAAAUUAUUUUUUUUCCUGUCAAGUUACUUGAUGCAGUGCUUUAGACUAGAAUAGCUGGAAUGUGUUCUUGAUUAUAGCAAUUACCUGGUCUUCCACUAUUUAAAAGGAAGAACAAGGACUUGAAAAGCCAUAUUGAAGGAAAUAAUUUGGGUAGCUCUCACUAGCAAUGAAUCCCUUCCCAAGUGCUCCUUGUAUGUUUCAUUCACAUGAAACUUUAUUCAGAUCCAGAACUAUCUGAAGCUUUCCUUAACACUUGAUGGUCAUGCUGUAAGAUGAGGGAGAUGGAAAGUAUGUGAAAUAUAUUGCUAUUUAAAGCAUGCACAGCUUUGGAAGCCUGAAGACUACUGAGACCAUAGCAAAAAAAGUAGAGAAAAUAAAGGGGAGAAAGUGUUCUUCAAAAUUCUUAAUAUAUUAUGAAGAGAAUAAUGAGAUCACUAAGAUGAUUUUAAGUCUCCUGCAUGCUACGACUGUCAUGGCAGAAGAAUUACUUUGGAUUCACAAGCAAAAACGUAUGCUUAAUAGAAAUUAUCAAAGUGAAAUUUUUGUUUGAUGUAACUUAUGGCUGCAGCAGUUAGAUUGCAAAAUGACAUUUAAACUGUAUCUGGCUAUAAGUAUUACUUAUAAAUGCUUCAAAGACACUGGUCACCUGGAGCAAACUCAGAGAGCAAAUUAUAGAUUUUGAGUUCUAUCUUGUCCCUAUUUGAGUCCAAUGCACACAGAAUACUCCCAGUAAGAGAGACUUUCUUAGGCAAAAUUUUUUGUUGAAAAUUUGGUUUCGAAUGAAUACAAUAAAUAUUGCCUAGUUCUUAGAGUUCUUCUUUAAUAAGAGAGAAGAAGGAAGGAAUCAAAGAAAAAAAUCCAAGAAGGAAUCAAGGGAAAAGAUGGGCACCAAUGUGGCCCUAGUAAAUGGAAGACUACAACUAUAGUUUUUGUUAGGUUAAAAAGGUCAAAAAUACAACAAUAUUUGUUGUAAGAGUUAACCAUAGCUAAACUUUCCUCAUGAAGGCAUUGAGAGGUAUUAGGAUGGAGCUUUGGAAUAUCUGUCUCUCUUUUUCAUACAUGGGCAAUAUACACUCCACUCAUGGCUCCAAAGAAAAGGGCAUCAAAACAUUGUAUUAGAAACAUAACAAUGUCCUUGCAAGUUGUAAGAUUUAGUUGUCACCUGUUCUAUGACCACUGUUUUAGGUAACUCAACAGGAAAUUGAAGCACUUUGAGAAAACAUGUUGUGUGAACACAGGGCAACUGGAGACUUGCCUUCCUUGCUCCAGCAACCUGCUCUUAAGUAAACAGAGGAGGAGUAUUUCUGUGCACAGCAGUGUCUGAGGCUUGCAGGAAAAAACAAUCUUCAAAGCAGCAAUCCUCAGUGUUGCCUAUGCCUUAGCUGCACUAAAUGACCUAUUUUUCUCUACCCAAGUGCUAAGCUGGGGGUGGUGGACACCACUGGUGCCCUUUCAGAGUGAUGGGACAAAUAGCUCAUUGGUGAGAGCAUCAGUUACUUUAGAGAGCAAUGGAAACUAGAGCAGUGUCUAUUAGGAGACAAUGUGGGUGUCAGAAAACUGAGCACAAGCUGUCUGGUAAGACUUUCAGCUUUCUGGAAGACACAGGGACUUACAGGACAAAACUGCAUGUAGUAUAUUUUUCAGUAAUUGCAAAGUAUGUUUUGCUGAAAAAAAAAUUCUCUUAAUGUUAACUAAUAUGUUACUAAUGAAUCAGAGAAGCUCCUCUGAACCUGUCCCAGUCUCUGCAAAAUUAAUCUGUGGACUCAAUGACAUAACCAUUGUGUGUCAGCCUGCCAUCUAUUAGGUAUGCAGAGCAGUUGUGAGUGCACCAGUUGUACCGUGCCGGAUCUGUGAAGAUGCAAGCCCAAUGGAGCAUUCUGCAGCUUUCGUUGCAGAACUCUAAGGCUUGGGAUAAAGAAAUCAUGAAGCAAAACACAAGAAUGCACCCAUAUAGUUUAUCUUCAGUAAGUUGCAUGAGAUAGGCAGUAUUCCUUAAUUUUUUCAGUGUACCUACCGUAUUGGAUGCUUUGCUCCUUUCACCUUAGAAGUAAGAGUUUAAAUUUCAUAACUGAAUUAAUAUAAAACUUUUAGCAAUUUCCUCCUCAUUGUUCUAGGGAAGUGAUAUUGGGAAGGCUGAUGCCACAAUUGAAUGACUGUUCUCCAUGAUUUAAGAGUUAGAACCUUUCCUCUAAAAAGAAUGAAAAGAAAAGAUGUUUUUGAAAUACCGUUUUGAUGAACUGAGGGAAAUAUAUGUCAAUUUUCUGAUAAAUAAAACAGUGCCUGAAAAAACAUACCUAAUUAAAAAUCAUUAUAUUUAUGCUUCUCUGUAUCCUAAUCACAAGCUGAUGAGUUGAAAAACAUCAGCAGAAUGUCAUAAUUGCCAGAUUCUGCAUCUGGAUCUUUGAGCUAUUUGACAGACAUGUAGCAUACAAAAUAUCUAGGCAAGUUGCCAGUGACUGUUUAGAUGUUGGUGUAGGGGAACAUAUAAUGUUCUUCACAUAUCUGUGUCAUUCUCUCAGAACUGUCUUUUUCUGCUUGUCUUUGUUUGUGUUGACCUUGUGUGGAUUGAGACAAAUACUCCUCUACUAGGUUUUUUCCAUAAAAAGAAGGUGACUGAAAAGGCUGAAAAUUUCUUUUUCUGCAGGUUUACUGAUGCAGCAGUCAUGAAUCAGAGCUAGAUGAGCUCAGUUAGAGACAAAAGUAAUUAAAAUCCGUGAACUACAAGGAAAUCAACAGAAUGGAAGAAAUUUCCUCCUUUUAAUUCAGUAAACAUUGUCAGUGAGCCACAAAUCCUACUUUUGAUGAUAAUUUUUGCCUUUUUUAUAUACUGUAUUUAUGUAAUAUAAUCCCCUCAAAAAGAAAGAAAGAAAGAAAACAAGUUAGGUAUAUGUAUUAUCAUGUAGAAGCAAAUUGUACAUUCAUUAAAUUAUUUGUACAGAACUGAGCUUGUCAUAAUCCAUAUAAGUGCAUAAGAUGUGAAAAGACUGAGCCUAUUAUUUCUAUUUCUUUAACAAGACCAAUGGCUUAUAUGCUAUUUAUUUAAAUAAUUGCAACCAUCUUCUUCCCCCACCCUUGCUUUUUCCUUUUGGAGAGAAAUAACUCCUAGAAAUAACUAGUGUCAGCUGUGAAUUCUGGAGGAGAAGCCAAGAAUAUAAAACCCGUGCAUGUGUAGACAGAUCCGACCCUCAGUGGGAACAUGGUGACACAGUCUCUUUUCCCCGCCCUGGACAGCCUGUUGUCGGCAGCACCUUUUAGAGAUAGCAGCCAAGGAACUUUCAGACCAGGAGCCAAGGGACCGGUUUUCCCUGCAGCUGCUCCUCAGAGUUAGACAGCCCUUGCUGAGGAUGAGGCUGCACUUUCGCUAUCCCUGCUUGGAGAGGAUGGGCCUGGAUCCUGCUGAUGAGACUCAGUGCUCCCACAGCACCGCUAUUAAGAUGGUUGCCCAUGUUUGCAUUGCUAGAGUGUUCUGUGCUCACCCACAACAUUCAAAUGUUGCUGAGUGACAUAGGGCUAAACUUAAAGCAAAAAGAUUGUACCUGUUGGCUCUGAGGAAAUUAAGUAGAGGCACCACAACAUGUUUUCUUGCUAUAUCAUUCUGGCUAUGUCCAUGGCUUAUAUUGCUUCCACUGAUAAAUCCCAGUAACUUACAGUUUUCAGCAUGCUCCACUGCUCUUAGGAUUUUCCACUCUGUCUUGUAACAACGCUAGCCUUAAGGCUUCUUGGGGAUCUGGGUUGCAAUUUAUGAAAGUGAAACUUUUUAAAGGUCACAAGGGUGCUUGCUUCUUCUGUCAACAACUUGCCUUGCAAGAGGGCUGGAAAAAAGUGUUUGGCUCAAUUCCUGGGUACAAUCCAGAGCACCACAGAAUAAUCAAGUAACAGCAUUUUGAAACCCCUUUUUAAUACUGUCACCAUGUUUAAAAAAACCCACCUUCUUAUAAAGCUGGGAAACAAAACAGCACAUCCAAGUCUAAACUGUCCUUGUCUGAACUGGACAGAUCUCUGUUUUGUGUAAUCAGUCAACAGAUCUCUGGAUCACAAAAAUCAAAACUGUUCCUUUACCCACAGCCCCUUUUGUCCAGGUCUGCCUGUGUUUGGGGCUGUGCAUGUCAUCCCUGUGGACUGACACAGGUAAGGGAGGUAGAUGCACGUUGAUGGGGAGUUUGCUCUGUCAGAGGUUCCAGAAGGGCCUCUCACUGCUUUCAGCAAGGGACUUGCCUGAUGCAGUGCACUUAGAAAAUUCACAUUGCACUACUGAGCUAAAAAUACCUGUGUGCUCGUCAGAGGUGAGAUGUCUGGCUUCUCUCUUGGUGCUGUUGGGACACUCUGGAUAGAGGGGACAGUUGCCAGUUGCAAAAUUUGUGUUUCUUCCUUCCCACUUCACUGCUCUUUAAUUGUAAUUACAGCAACUUUUUGUCCCUUUCAGACCUGCUCACUUUGAGCAAAGGGUAAAAGAAUGAUUUGUUGGAGUAUUUUGUAUUUAUUAACUAGUUGCCAAAAGAAUAAGGUUUAGUACAACAGAGCUUGCCCUUCACAGUAACAAAUAAAACAUGUUGCUUGUACUCUGUUUCAACCCUAACCACGCUGUCAAGUGUAAUAUUUCUUGUUUCUUCUGGUUGUGCCAGAAACCUAGUUAGUAUUCAGUCAUGCAGUCAUAGAAAAGUACCAAAUAUAUGCCAAAUAAAUUAAUGUAAUUUAAAUUUACUUUCUAACUGCAUAUGGGAAGCAAAAAAAAUAUAAGAACAAGUGUAGGGUAGUAUAGCUUUCAAUAGAACAGUGUUUCCCUAGCUUAGCUACAUGAAAAUGCUGCUUAUAAAGCUUUUUAAAGAUUAAUUUGUUUGUGGUUUGUAGUAGUUUGGUUUUUUGGAGGUAUUUUUGGGGUGGAAGGGUAAUUGUCAGACAGAGGUAGGAUCUGUUAUCUCCCAGGUAAAAAGAUACAAGUUCACUGCAGUGUACUCUGAUAUUAGUGGUUCCUCUGAAUGCUUUUAACCUGUGAUAAAAUCACCUUCAAGGUAAGUCAAUUUUCAUUCAUUCUGAAAUAAUUCACAAUAAUAAUGCUGAAACACCUUAAAUAUUUCCCAUAUUGCAACUGCUUCUUUAUUCACUCAUACCAUGAAUAAAAUCAGUUUUAUACAAGGAAUUCAAAAGUCUAUCUAGUCAGUACUCUUAGGUUUUUGUUCCAUAAAAUAUGACUGGGGGAGAAAGACUAUAGAGUAUUUUCAAGCUUAUUCUGAGAAGGUAUUUUAUGUCAAAAAGUUGGACAAAAUGGGUUUUCUUUGAGGAAAUACAGGCUUAUAUGAGGCUUUAUAGUAGUAUAAGUUAUAUGCACAGAAAAGAAGUAGGAUAUUUUGAGGCAUUAAAAAGUUUGAAUAAAAUAUAGGAAGAGGAAGACAGCAAUUAAGACAAGAUUAUUACUUCCUUUGAAUUACUUUGAACUAUGAGGGGAAAAAGAGGGAAAUCAGAAAAAAAAAAAAAGUAGAAAUUUUGCAGCCUUUCAUUUUAAUUAAUUUACAUUGUUCUUCUUCUGCAUAGGCCAGGUAUUGUUUUCUUCCUUUGUUUGUUUGGGAGGUCAGUAUUACAUGGUACAACUGAAGAACUGCUUUGUUACUUUAGAGCUGUGCAACUCUGUCACCAUAAACAGUGUUGACGGACUAAAACAAAAUGGCCAACAGUAAAACUGUCUUUCCUGUCUUAUCCUGUUAAAUGAUAGGGUAGGGGACCAUUUAGUUUAAUUUAUAUGUGAUAAUUAUAUAGCUGUAAAAUAUUGCUGCAGGCUUCUCUUUGUUUAUAUUGCAUAUUUAAUACUGAAAUAAUUUUUUUUUUAAUUAGAGCUGCAGUUGUUAUCAUGAUCUAUUUUCUUGGAAUUUUAACUAGGAAAUAUGGGCUACUUACAGAAGAAAUGGAUCAGUCUCAACAGACUUGAAACGACUGAGGAUAGACACCCCAAGCAAGAAUGUAAAUAAUAAAAAAACAAUUUAUUAAUCAGAAGCCAUUACCUGCUGAAUACUUGACACCUUUUACAGAAGGUAGUUGUCUUUCAUCCAAGUUACGACAAACAUCUCAGGCAAGGUGCCUGAAGCAAACUCAAAGGCAGCGUCCUUCUGAACUCUGAAUUCCCCAUUAGGAGCUGUACUAGGUGAAAGGUACACUGUUCAACUUGGAUUUCAUAACAGCACUUGGACUCUACUCAGAAGCUACUGCUCUGUCAUAACAUCCACUAGGUAGGGAGAUCCAGCUCUAGAAAUAGCAUGCUGUAUCCAGGUGGAGUUCCAGGAGUGAAUGACUGCUGGGAGAAGAUAUAGGUUACUUUUCUGCUAUUUCCAGGAUAUGAUCUGGAGGUCAAGGAGGAAUGUGCUUGACAAUGUGCCUUUGCAAGUGACUUUCACUAAUAACAUCAAAAUCCAGGAGCUAAAAUCCACAGGAAUGGUCAUACAGCGCAAAUGCUGGUAACUCUUAACGUGUCUGUUGAUCUCUGAAGGGGGACUCCACUCAAAAUCCACAACAUGCGGGACAUCUGGCCUCUGUGUCCUCAGGAACAGCCAUCUUCCUGCAGUACUAGCCUAUGAAGAAUCUCUGCUGGUCAUUUGUCUCUCUGCAACAGUUGCCCAUAGCUGUGUACCUAGUUGCAGGAAUUGGUUUAGAUCAGCAGCAUCAGCCCAAGCAAAUAGGUUUUCCUGUGGAAAUGCAUUGCUGUGUUGCUGCCCAGCUUCACAAACUACUUCUGGAGACCCUUCAUCGCUCUGGUAGUUGGACUUCGUGCUUUGUAGCUGUGCUGUGGAAAGGUAAAGUAGUGAAGAUCACAGCAAGGUAGUGGUCCAUUUCUGUAAAACAAGGGAAGGUUUAAAUCUCGCAAGUGGUUAAAAAGUACUCGGUACAUGUUUUAACUAGAUAAUUCCCAGAAAAUAUCUUCAUCCAUAUUGCAGCAUUGCUUCUCAAAGCUCAGGUGCUUAAGCAGCAUUGCUUCUCAAAGCUCAGGUGCUUGAGCUAUUGUAAAUUGCUGCUGCUCUGUACACUUUAAUGAAUGGCUGAGGUGGAAGAGCCAUUACAUCCUGGUGUAACAGGCUUUUAUGCAUUUACAUUUAUAUAUUUACCUUUAUAUAUAUUUAUAUAUUUACAUUUAUAUUAUUUAUAUAAAUAACCAUCUGCAUUUAAAAAUUCUCAAGGUCUCAAAUAGCAAAACUUUGAUAAUUUCCAAAUUUAUAACACUGACAAUACAACUAAGUUUGUUAGGUAGAGGUACUGGUCUGAAAAUGUAGGAUUCAAGAUGUUGCACAGAACAGCUAGCAGAGUGUCCCUUUAAUGGUGCUAAUUUAAAUUCUAACUCUGUAAUGUAGCACUAGAAGGGUUGUGCAGAUAUUAAAAAAAAUUAAAAAAAUAACACAUAUAUAUAUAUAUAGUCACUUAGCUAUUAAGGAAUUUGUUCUGGUUUUGACUGGGGUAGUUAAUUUCUGUCACAGUAGCUAUUAUGGGAAUGUGUUUCAGAUUUGCACAGAAAGCAGCACUGACAACACAGACAUGUUCUAAUUACUACUGGGCAGAACUCACAAUGCAUCUAGAUCUUUCCUGCUUCUUGAAUCACCCCAUCAGCGAGUGUGCUGGAGGUAGAUAAGGAGCUGGGAGGGGAUACAGCUGGGACAGCUGAACCCCAGUUGAUCACAGGGAUAUUCUAGGAUAUGUAGUAUCAUGCUCAGCUUGUAGAGGUGGGGGAAGAAGGAAGUGGGAGAACAUUUAGAGUGAUGAAGUUUGUCUUCUCAAGUCACCAUUAAGGCAUGAUGGGGUCCUGUCUUCCUGGAGAUGGCUGAACCCAAGCCUGUCCACUGGAAAUGGGGAAUGAAUUCCUUGGUUUGCUUUGUGUCUUGUGGCUUUUCCUUUACUAAACUGUCUUAACUCUUGAGUCUUCUCACUUGACUCUUCUGACUCUCCUCCCCCACCCACAGUGGGGCACUUAGGGAGAAGCUGCACACUCUUUCUUCACUAGGAGAGGUUAUACACAGUAACAGAUCUCCAAGCAGAUUAGCAAAAUGACAACCUUUGUGUUUCUUAUUGGUUUUACCCUGAACUUAGGCAAAUAUUAUGGACAGUGUUAUUAAUAAGGAGGGAAUUAAUUCUUAAGUCUGUCUGAAUUCUUCACCAAAAACAAAAUUAAGCUCAAAAUUAACCUGAAAUGCUCUAUUUAGAGAGGAGGUCCUAUUGUUUGUAUUAUGUAAGGUGUUGGAUCGAUGUUUAUGUUGCCCAUGCUAGCAGCUGCAUCCCUGAAGAUACAGUACUGUGGGAACAUUGAGGCCCAGUACCCCAAACACCAACAGAGGUGCACAGGACAGGCCUGCCACUCAAGCCUCUGUUCUUCCCACAGGUCAAAUCACAUGCUGAUCCUGAAGGACAAUGACAAUCUAUUUUGCCCGUGCAUAGCAGACAGGACAUGCUGCAGCACCGCCACACUGCUGGCACACAGAGCAGACUCAAAAACAUUGCACAGGGCACACAUUUCCAUAUCUCCUUACUUCCAAGGACAUCUUCUACACCCCAAGUCAAGAAACUUCAUGUAAAAGUUCCAGCUGCAAACUAGACCUUUAAAGUCACUGCCCUCUUUCCUCCUAGUACCCCAAUAUUUGUGUCACCUCCUCAGGCAAAGGACCAGAUACCUCAAAACAGGGUCACUGCAGCUGUAAUGUGAUACAGAGUCCUAAAAAGGCAUUUCCCAUGUGGGACCUGGCCCCAUAAGCUCAGUCAUGUAAAUAAAAGAGAUAGAAUCCCGAAACUAGACUCAGUGGUAUAGUUCUCAGUAGUACUCAGUGGUAUAGUUCUAGAAAUAGUUUUUUUCUAUUUUUUGAGAAAGCAACACAUGUUUUCCUGCAGUAAGUUCCUGUAUUAUGUGAUACUUGUGUUUUUUUUUAUUUUACACAUAGAUACAACAUUUAAAACCCUUUUUUUUACAAAAGUUUAUUUUCCACAUGGAAGAGCAAUAGGAAAAAUUAAACUGUUUUCCACAUACUGUUUUCUUAAAACAAGAGUCUACAAGGACAUAUGCAGCACCAAAACUAAAAACAAAAAAAAGUACAAACAGCCAUACAAUAUAAUCUAUAAAGCAAACAUUUAAUAUUGCACUUUGUUUCUCUAAUGUUUGGAUUUUACUUACUUUUUUCCUAAUUCAGAUCAGAAUUCUCUAUCAAAUACUGGGUUUCAACUGUGAACCUCAGGUUUUAUAAUGCUGAGAACUGACCGAUAUUUAUGGGAGAGUAAUGCCUCUGAGUAAUUUAAACUGUAAGUCUUUAUUUGAUAAGCUUAUACAAUUUUUCAUUCUAAUCACAAAGGCUGUAAUGCCAAGCCAAUUACUAUGACAUCGGUCAAUCCUGCCUCAUAUGCAAUUUUCCAUUGUAUUGUGGUAAGCAUUUAAUGCUAUGUAUAUCAGCAAUUGUUCCCUAGUCUGCAAAAAGAACAAAAAAAGGAAAAAAAAGUAAAACCACCAAAUGCCCUUUUAUACCAACGAUCCCAUCAGCUUUAAAAAUUGUCUGGUUGGAGAGGGUAGAGGGAAGGGACAUCCACAAAAUUGGCCUAGUAGCAUCAUCCAAUUUCCUUCUUGCCAAUAUUCCCGUUCAAAGCCCAAACCUUUUAACUGAAUCACUUAAAACGCGACUCAUUUGUAUUUUAUCACCCUGUUGUCAUUUUUGAAACAUGAAUUAUCUUUCAUGUUCUCAUAAAGGCCACUUAUGGAAAAGCCGAUUUUGUCGCAUUUAUGAAGCCUUAAAAACAAGGCAAAGGUUUUUAAAAAUGAGCACCAUGCAGAAACACCAGCCUCUCCUCUCCCACUCUCUUCAGAGCUUUUUUAUUGCACAAGGAGUUAGGUAUUUGAUGGAUUAGAUCUCGAUUUGUUCAAAUACUCAAGACCAGAAUAGUGUUCAUCAGUGGUUUGUGUUCCACAGUUUCUGAAGAGCAAAGCUGACUUCCACUGUACAUCUGCAGCAUCUAAGCACUGGUAUUUGUUAGCACAGGUAAUAGCUCCAUUGCACUCUUUUCCCUGGGGCACACUUAAGGGCAAGUGCUCUUUCCCUACGGUUUUGUUGCAUUCUGGAUGAAUACAUGGUAUAAUCCAGAGUUCUGUUUGCUUUAAAGCUCUUGAUAGUGCCACAGAAGAUGCAGUUAUCAAAGCACUUCCACCUAACUCAUAUAUAAGUAUGGCUGGUAACACUGAUCUUUCUUGCUUUAAUUAUACUUCUAAUCUUGUACAGUAUCAUAAACCCUGAAGGUAAUGCAAAGUGCGCAAACUGAGCUCUCAGCAUAAAAGAAGCUUUUCUUGCAGUUUGAAAUAUACUUUCUACUAGACUCAUCAGAUACAGCAUUUUUGGUGAUUAAGUAGCUAUA
Molecule: long non-coding RNA, 11961 nt
Organism: Passer montanus (Eurasian tree sparrow)
Lineage: Eukaryota; Metazoa; Chordata; Aves; Passeriformes; Passeridae
Exons: 3
Source: RefSeq, a predicted model, not a curated record